This 346-nucleotide unclassified non-coding RNA is filed under the name soil metagenome. RNAcentral describes it as "partial contains 5.8S ribosomal RNA, internal transcribed spacer 2, and large subunit ribosomal RNA". The stretch from base 1 to 120 matches the Rfam family "5.8S ribosomal RNA", at positions 35 to 154 of the family's 154-position model. The record is from RNAcentral.
GAUGAAGAACGCAGCGAAAUGCGAUAAGUAAUGUGAAUUGCAGAGUUCAGUGAAUCAUCGAAUCUUUGAACGCACAUUGCGCCCCCUGGUAUUCCGGGGGGCAUGCCUGUCCGAGCGUCAUUGCUGCCCUCAAGCACGGCUUGUGUGUUGGGCCCCGUCCUCCGAUUCCGGGGGACGGGCCCGAAAGGCAGCGGCGGCACCGCGUCCGGUCCUCGAGCGUAUGGGGCUUUGUCACCCGCUCUGUAGGCCCGGCCGGCGCUUGCCGAUCAACCCAAAUUUUUAUCCAGGUUGACCUCGGAUCAGGUAGGGAUACCCGCUGAACUUAAGCAUAUCAAUAAGCGGAGGA